Molecule: ribosomal RNA, 577 nt
Filed under: uncultured bacterium
Lineage: Bacteria
Description: bacterial SSU rRNA
Rfam family: Bacterial small subunit ribosomal RNA
Source: RNAcentral
CCUACGGGAGGCAGCAGUAAGGAAUAUUGGUCAAUGGACGAAAGUCUGAACCAGCCAUGCCGCGUGAAGGAUGAAGGCCCUCUGGGUUGUAAACUUCUUUUACAGGGGACGAAAAAAGGGAAUUCUUUCUCACUUGACGGUACCCUGGGAAUAAGCACCGGCUAACUCCGUGCCAGCAGCCGCGGUAAUACGGAGGGCGCAAGCGUUAUCCGGAUUCACUGGGUUUAAAGGGUGCGUAGGUGGGUCUGUAAGUCAGCGGUGAAAUCUCCGGGCUUAACCCGGAAACUGCCAUUGAUACUAUAGAUCUUGAAUUGUCUGGAGGUAAGCGGAAUAUGUCAUGUAGCGGUGAAAUGCUUAGAUAUGACAUAGAACACCAAUUGCGAAGGCAGCUUACUACGGAUUGAUUGACACUGAGGCACGAAAGCGUGGGGAUCAAACAGGAUUAGAUACCCUGGUAGUCCACGCCCUAAACGAUGGAUACUCGACAUUUGUGAUAUACUAUAAGUGUCUGAGCGAAAGCAUUAAGUAUCCACCUGGGAAGUACGACCGCAAGGUUGAAACUCAAAGGAAUUGACGG